Molecule: ribosomal RNA, 871 nt
Filed under: Purpureocillium lilacinum
Lineage: Eukaryota; Fungi; Ascomycota; Sordariomycetes; Hypocreales; Ophiocordycipitaceae
Description: partial large subunit ribosomal RNA
Rfam family: Eukaryotic large subunit ribosomal RNA
Source: RNAcentral
AGCAUAUCAAUAAGCGGAGGAAAAGAAACCAACAGGGAUUGCCCCCAGUAACGGCGAGUGAAGCGGCAACAGCUCAAAUUUGAAAUCUGGCCCCCAGGGCCCGAGUUGUAAUUUGCAGAGGAUGCUUUUGGCGCGGUGCCUUCCGAGUUCCCUGGAACGGGACGCCAUAGAGGGUGAGAGCCCCGUCUGGUCGGACGCCUAGCCUGUGUAAAGCUCCUUCGACGAGUCGAGUAGUUUGGGAAUGCUGCUCUAAAUGGGAGGUAUAUGUCUUCUAAAGCUAAAUACCGGCCAGAGACCGAUAGCGCACAAGUAGAGUGAUCGAAAGAUGAAAAGCACUUUGAAAAGAGGGUUAAAUAGUACGUGAAAUUGUUGAAAGGGAAGCGCUUGUGACCAGACUUGGGCCCGGUGGAUCAUCCAGCGUUCUCGCUGGUGCACUCCGCCGGGUUCAGGCCAGCAUCAGUUCGCCGCGGGGGAAAAAGGCUUCGGGAACGUGGCUCCUACGGGAGUGUUAUAGCCCGUUGCAUAAUACCCUGGGGCGGACUGAGGUUCGCGCUCCGCAAGGAUGCUGGCGUAAUGGUCAUCAGCGACCCGUCUUGAAACACGGACCAAGGAGUCGUCUUCGUAUGCGAGUGUUCGGGUGUAAAACCCCUACGCGUAAUGAAAGUGAACGCAGGUGAGAGCUUCGGCGCAUCAUCGACCGAUCCUGAUGUUCUCGGAUGGAUUUGAGUAAGAGCAUACGGGGCCGGACCCGAAAGAAGGUGAACUAUGCCUGUAUAGGGUGAAGCCAGAGGAAACUCUGGUGGAGGCUCGCAGCGGUUCUGACGUGCAAAUCGAUCGUCAAAUAUGGGCAUGGGGGCGAAAGACUAAUCGA